UGUGCAAGCUCGACAAAAAUUUUAUUGAGGGAUUCCCUUAGCUUUUCAACUUUUGCCUUGGUCGUGUCGGUGUGCACAUGCACUUCUACGGCAUUAGAUUUAGCUUUUUGGUGCAAAGCUCUAUGGAUCUCCACCUUGCACAUAUGAUUUAAAGUGUCAACUAAAAAAUGAUAUCUGUAGAGGGGCUAUAAUUAGCAGAAAGGUGAGAGGAGA
This 213-nucleotide long non-coding RNA is filed under the name Elaeis guineensis (African oil palm). Its description in RNAcentral is "long non-coding RNA (EGUI_LNC042424)". The record is from RNAcentral. Lineage: Eukaryota; Viridiplantae; Streptophyta; Magnoliopsida; Arecales; Arecaceae.